AUUGAACGCUGGCGGAAUGCUUUACACAUGCAAGUCGAACGGCGGCACGGACUUCGGUCUGGUGGCGAGUGGCGAACGGGUGAGUAAUGUAUCGGAACGUGCCCAGUCGUGGGGGAUAACGUAGUGAAAAUUACGCUAAUACCGCAUACGAUCUAUGGAUGAAAGCGGGGGAUCGCAAGACCUCGCGCGAUUGGAGCGGCCGAUAUCGGAUUAGGUAGUUGGUGGGGUAAAGGCCCACCAAGCCAACGAUCUGUAGCUGGUCUGAGAGGACGACCAGCCACACUGGAACUGAGACACGGUCCAGACGCCUACGGGAGGCAGCAGUGGGGAAUUUUGGACAAUGGGCGAAAGCCUGAUCCAGCCAUUCCGCGUGCAGGAUGAAGGCCCUCGGGUUGUAAACUGCUUUUGUACAGAACGAAAAGGUUUCUACUAAUACUAGGAGCUCAUGACGGUACUGUAAGAAUAAGCACCGGCUAACUACGUGCCAGCCGCCGCAGUAA
This 500-nucleotide ribosomal RNA is filed under the name uncultured bacterium. RNAcentral's name for it is "partial 16S ribosomal RNA". It matches the Rfam family "Bacterial small subunit ribosomal RNA", at positions 30 to 523 of the family's 1533-position model. The record is from RNAcentral.